Molecule: ribosomal RNA, 253 nt
Filed under: uncultured bacterium
Lineage: Bacteria
Description: partial 16S ribosomal RNA
Rfam family: Bacterial small subunit ribosomal RNA
Source: RNAcentral
UACGAAGGGGGCUAGCGUUGCUCGGAAUCACUGGGCGUAAAGGGUGCGUAGGCGGGUCUUUAAGUCAGGGGUGAAAUCCUGGAGCUCAACUCCAGAACUGCCCUUGAUACUGAAGGUCUUGAGUUCGGGAGAGGUGAGUGGAACUGCGAGUGUAGAGGUGAAAUUCGUAGAUAUUCGCAAGAACACCAGUGGCGAAGGCGGCUCACUGGCCCGAUACUGACGCUGAGGCACGAAAGCGUGGGGAGCAAACAGG